This 169-nucleotide ribosomal RNA is filed under the name uncultured Clostridium sp. Its description in RNAcentral is "partial 16S ribosomal RNA". It matches the Rfam family "Bacterial small subunit ribosomal RNA", at positions 338 to 524 of the family's 1533-position model. The record is from RNAcentral. Lineage: Bacteria; Bacillati; Bacillota; Clostridia; Eubacteriales; Clostridiaceae.
CCUACGGGAGGCAGCAGUGGGGAAUAUUGCCCAAGGGGGGAAACCCGGAGGCAGCAACGCCGCGUGAGUGAGGAAGCCUUUCGGGUGGUAAAGUUCGUUUUUGGCGGAGGAUAAUGACGGUAAGCGAGGAGGAAGCCACGGCUAACUACGUGCCAGCAGCCGCGGUAAU